AUACGGGAGGCAGCAGUAGGGAAUCUUCCACAAUGGACGAAAGUCUGAUGGAGCAAUGCCGCGUGAGUGAAGAAGGUUUUCGGAUCGUAAAGCUCUGUUGCGAGGGAAGAACACGUACGGGAGUAACUGCCCGUACCUUGACGGUACCUCGUCAGAAAGCCACGGCUAACUACGUGCCAGCAGCCGCGGUAAUACGUAGGUGGCAAGCGUUGUCCGGAAUUAUUGGGCGUAAAGCGCGCGCAGGCGGUCCUUUAAGUCUGAUGUGAAAGCCCACGGCUCAACCGUGGAGGGUCAUUGGAAACUGGGGGACUUGACUACAGAAGAGGAAAGCGGAAUUCCACGUGUAGCGGUGAAAUGCGUAGAGAUGUGGAGGAACACCAGUGGCGAAGGCGGCUUUCUGGUCUGUAACUGACGCUGAGGCGCGAAAGCGUGGGGAGCAAACAGGAUUAGAUACCCUUGUAGUCUU
This 466-nucleotide ribosomal RNA is filed under the name uncultured bacterium. Its description in RNAcentral is "bacterial SSU rRNA". It matches the Rfam family "Bacterial small subunit ribosomal RNA", at positions 339 to 797 of the family's 1533-position model. The record is from RNAcentral.